AUUAGCGGGGAUCUGAAGUGCUUGUCAAGUAUAUACUUUUGUGCUAAAACGACUAAUAUUUCGCUGCUGCGCAAUAGAUAAAGUGUGCUUACGGGAACAGAUUUGGCUGUAAUCAUUUAUGUACGAUAACUGAUCUGACAUAGUCAAAUAUUAUUUGAUAUUCUCAAAAAAGAGCAAGAUGGAUAAACGGACUAUCUACUUCAUAUGCUAUGUGUUUCUUCUCACCAUGCCAACACUAGUGCUGUGUUGGAACCAGCAACCGGAAGUAGAGUCUUUGACAAACAUUGCGCAGGACGAAGAGGAACCAGCCAUACAUCGCCGCAGUGUGAAUCGCCGUCGUGGUAGAUAUCGUCCUGUUGUUUACCAUUGCGUGGAGGGUAGGGGUAGGUGUCGACUAUUCACGUGCCUGCGUACAGAGUAUGAACAAGUGUAUGCCGAUAUUGAGUGCCCAAUAGCCAUCUACAAGUGUUGCAGACCCUACUAUAUGCCAUGGCAGUUACGUUUUACUUUAUUCAUCA
Ruditapes philippinarum (Manila clam) is the source of this 518-nucleotide long non-coding RNA. RefSeq lists it as uncharacterized. NCBI's taxonomy places the organism in Eukaryota, Metazoa, Mollusca, Bivalvia, Venerida, Veneridae. The transcript is spliced from 3 exons. The record is from RefSeq and is a predicted model, not a curated record.